GCUGAAGAGAGGAGCUUGCUCUUCUUGGAUGAGUUGCGAACGGGUGAGUAACGCGUAGGUAACCUGCCUUGUAGCGGGGGAUAACUAUUGGAAACGAUAGCUAAUACCGCAUAACAAUGGAUGACACAUGUCAUUUAUUUGAAAGGGGCAAUUGCUCCACUACAAGAUGGACCUGCGUUGUAUUAGCUAGUAGGUGAGGUAACGGCUCACCUAGGCGACGAUACAUAGCCGACCUGAGAGGGUGAUCGGCCACACUGGGACUGAGACACGGCCCAGACUCCUACGGGAGGCAGCAGUAGGGAAUCUUCGGCAAUGGGGGCAACCCUGACCGAGCAACGCCGCGUGAGUGAAGAAGGUUUUCGGAUCGUAAAGCUCUGUUGUAAGUCAAGAACGAGUGUGAGAGUGGAAAGUUCACACUGUGACGGUAGCUUACCAGAAAGGGACGGCUAACUACGUGCCAGCAGCCGCGGUAAUACGUAGGUCCCGAGCGUUGUCCGGAUUUAUUGGGCGUAAAGCGAGCGCAGGCGGUUUGAUAAGUCUGAAGUUAAAGGCUGUGGCUCAACCAUAGUUCGCUUUGGAAACUGUCAAACUUGAGUGCAGAAGGGGAGAGUGGAAUUCCAUGUGUAGCGGUGAAAUGCGUAGAUAUAUGGAGGAACACCGGUGGCGAAAGCGGCUCUCUGGUCUGUAACUGACGCUGAGGCUCGAAAGCGUGGGGAGCGAACAGGAUUAGAUACCCUGGUAGUCCACGCCGUAAACGAUGAGUGCUAGGUGUUGGAUCCUUUCCGGGAUUCAGUGCCGCAGCUAACGCAUUAAGCACUCCGCCUGGGGAGUACGACCGCAAGGUUGAAACUCAAAGGAAUUGACGGGGGCCCGCACAAGCGGUGGAGCAUGUGGUUUAAUUCGAAGCAACGCGAAGAACCUUACCAGGUCUUGACAUCCCGAUGCUAUUUCUAGAGAUAGAAAGUUACUUCGGUACAUCGGUGACAGGUGGUGCAUGGUUGUCGUCAGCUCGUGUCGUGAGAUGUUGGGUUAAGUCCCGCAACGAGCGCAACCCCUAUUGUUAGUUGCCAUCAUUCAGUUGGGCACUCUAGCGAGACUGCCGGUAAUAAACCGGAGGAAGGUGGGGAUGACGUCAAAUCAUCAUGCCCCUUAUGACCUGGGCUACACACGUGCUACAAUGGUUGGUACAACGAGUUGCGAGUCGGUGACGGCAAGCUAAUCUCUUAAAGCCAAUCUCAGUUCGGAUUGUAGGCUGCAACUCGCCUACAUGAAGUCGGAAUCGCUAGUAAUCGCGGAUCAGCACGCCGCGGUGAAUACGUUCCCGGGCCUUGUACACACCGCCCGUCACACCACGAGAGUUUGUAACACCCGAAGUCGGUGAGGUAACCUUUGGAGCCAG
RNAcentral lists this ribosomal RNA (1399 nucleotides) under Streptococcus sp. 2010_Ileo_MS_XId. RNAcentral's name for it is "bacterial SSU rRNA". It matches the Rfam family "Bacterial small subunit ribosomal RNA". The record is from RNAcentral. Lineage: Bacteria; Bacillati; Bacillota; Bacilli; Lactobacillales; Streptococcaceae.